GAGAGGAGUAAGUGGGAAAGGGAGAUAGAUCUAGAUGAAGUUGUUUGGAUGGGUGAUUUGGAAAGAAAAGUUUUGUGUAGAUACUUGAAAGAAAUUCUUUCCUAUUCCACCCAUCCCAUUGAUUUCCUCUGGCUCCUCCCCUUCCCUUUCUUUUCCUGUU
This 160-nucleotide microRNA precursor is filed under the name Panax ginseng (ginseng). RNAcentral describes it as "miR2118 stem-loop (pgi-MIR2118)". Lineage: Eukaryota; Viridiplantae; Streptophyta; Magnoliopsida; Apiales; Araliaceae. The record is from miRBase by way of RNAcentral.